GACGAACGCUGGCGGCGUGCCUAACACAUGCAAGUCGAACGGUGAAGCGCCUUCCUUUUUGGUGGGAGUGGAGGAGCGGCGAACGGGGGAGUAACACGUGAGUAACCUGCUCCCUCCUGCUGGACAACCGCAAGAAAGUGUGGCUAAUACGGGAUAUUUUGAGCCUCUCGGAUGAUGGGUCUGGGAAAGUCUUUGUUUCGGUUGGGGAUGGGGUCGCGCACCAUCGGCUUGUUGGUGGGGUGAUGGCUUACCAAGGCGGUGAUGGGUAGCCGGCCUGAGAGGGUGGGCCACCACACUGCGACUGAACCGCGGACACGCCUCCUGCGGGAGGCAGCAGUGGAGAUUAUUGCACGAUGGGAGCCAGGCUGAUGCAGCGCCGCCGCGUGGAGGAUGGAGGCCUUCGGGUUGUGAACCUCUUUCGCCAGUGAAGCAAGCCUGCCUCGUUUGUGGGUGGGUUGACGGUAGCUGGAUAAGAAGCGCCGGCUAACUACGUG
This 494-nucleotide ribosomal RNA is filed under the name uncultured bacterium. RNAcentral describes it as "partial 16S ribosomal RNA". It matches the Rfam family "Bacterial small subunit ribosomal RNA", at positions 28 to 507 of the family's 1533-position model. The record is from RNAcentral.